This 234-nucleotide ribosomal RNA is filed under the name uncultured bacterium. Its description in RNAcentral is "partial 16S ribosomal RNA". The record is from RNAcentral.
CUGCUGCCUCCCGUAGGAGUCUGGGCCGUAUCUCAGUCCCAAUGUGGCCGUUCAACCUCUCAGUUCGGCUACUGAUCGUCGCCUUGGUAGGCCGUUACCCCACCAACUAGCUAAUCAGACGCAAGCCCAUCUAUCAGCGGAUUGCUCCUUUUCUAGCUAUAUCAUGCGAUAUUACUAGCUUAUGCGGUAUUAGCAAUGAUUUCUCACUGUUAUUCCCCUCUGAUAGGCAGGUUG